UAGUAUUCAAUUGUCAGAGGUGAAAUUCUUGGAUUUAUUGAAGACUAACUACUGCGAAAGCAUUUGCCAAGGAUGUUUUCAUUAAUCAAGAACGAAAAUUAGGGGAUCGAAGACGAUCAGAUACCGUCGUAGUCUUAACCAUAAACUAUGCCGACUAGGGAUCGGAUGAUGUUAAUUUUUUAAUGACUCA
RNAcentral lists this ribosomal RNA (190 nucleotides) under uncultured Glomeromycotina. Its description in RNAcentral is "partial 18S ribosomal RNA". It matches the Rfam family "Eukaryotic small subunit ribosomal RNA", at positions 892 to 1078 of the family's 1831-position model. Lineage: Eukaryota; Fungi; Glomeromycota. The record is from RNAcentral.